Molecule: ribosomal RNA, 464 nt
Filed under: Capnocytophaga sputigena
Lineage: Bacteria; Pseudomonadati; Bacteroidota; Flavobacteriia; Flavobacteriales; Flavobacteriaceae
Description: bacterial SSU rRNA
Rfam family: Bacterial small subunit ribosomal RNA
Source: RNAcentral
GAUGAACGCUAGCGGCAGGCCUAACACAUGCAAGUCGAGGGAGAGGUUACCUUCGGGUAACCAAAACCGGCGCACGGGUGCGUAACGCGUAUACAAUCUACCUUUCACAUAGGGAUAGCCCGAAGAAAUUUGGAUUAAUACCUAAUGGUAUAUAGGAGCGGCAUCGUUCUUAUAUUAAAGCUACGGUGGUGAAAGAUGAGUAUGCGUUCUAUUAGCUAGUUGGAGAGGUAACGGCUCCCCAAGGCGACGAUAGAUAGGGGUUCUGAGAGGGAUGUCCCCCACACUGGUACUGAGAUACGGACCAGACUCCUACGGGAGGCAGCAGUGAGGAAUAUUGGACAAUGGUCGGAAGACUGAUCCAGCCAUGCCGCGUGCAGGAUGAAGGUCCUAUGGAUUGUAAACUGCUUUUGUAAGGGAAGAAUAAGGAGUACGUGUACUUUGAUGACGGUACCUUACGAAUAAGC